GACGAACGCUGGCGGCGUGCCUAAUACAUGCAAGUCGUGCGGACCUUGUUGAAAGCUUGCUUUUAAAAGGUUAGCGGCGGACGGGUGAGUAACACGUGGGCAACCUGCCUGUAAGACUGGGAUAACGCCGGGAAACCGGGGCUAAUACCAGAUCGUUUUUUCCUCCGCAUGGAGGAAAAAGGAAAGGCGGCUUCGGCUGCCACUUACAGAUGGGCCCGCGGCGCAUUAGCUAGUUGGCGGGGUAAUGGCCCACCAAGGCAACGAUGCGUAGCCGACCUGAGAGGGUGAUCGGCCACAUUGGGACUGAGACACGGCCCAAACUCCUACGGGAGGCAGCAGUAGGGAAUCUUCCGCAAUGGACGAAAGUCUGACGGAGCAACGCCGCGUGAGUGAAGGAGGCCUUCGGGUCGUAAAACUCUGUUGCCGGGGAAGAACAAGUGCCGUUCGAACAGGGCGGCGCCUUGACGGUACCCGGCCAGAAAGCCACGGCUAACUACGUG
RNAcentral lists this ribosomal RNA (500 nucleotides) under uncultured bacterium. Its description in RNAcentral is "partial 16S ribosomal RNA". It matches the Rfam family "Bacterial small subunit ribosomal RNA", at positions 28 to 507 of the family's 1533-position model. The record is from RNAcentral.